AAUUCCCUGCAGUGUUCGCCAAGGCUUUACAUUCCUUGAACCAAUACGCAUUUGCAUCGGUCGCCGCCCAUUGACGCCGCUGUUGUGAGCACUCCUCGUUGAGUGCACCUGAAGCGGCAGGAACGCGACCCAUCUGAACCCAGGUUCAGGAUGCCGGCCAAACGGCACUCGCGGGGAACCC
Molecule: non-coding RNA, 181 nt
Filed under: Rhodocyclaceae bacterium
Lineage: Bacteria; Pseudomonadati; Pseudomonadota; Betaproteobacteria; Rhodocyclales; Rhodocyclaceae
Description: 6S RNA
Rfam family: 6S / SsrS RNA
About the family: E. coli 6S RNA was the first non coding RNA to be sequenced, but its function was unknown until recently.
Source: RNAcentral